UUUAUUAUGAGAGUUUGAUCCUGGCUCAGGACGAACGCUGGCGGCGUGCCUAAUACAUGCAAGUCGAACGCUUCUUUCCUCCCGAGUGCUUGCACUCAAUUGGAAAGAGGAGUGGCGGACGGGUGAGUAACACGUGGGUAACCUACCCAUCAGAGGGGGAUAACACUUGGAAACAGGUGCUAA
This 183-nucleotide ribosomal RNA is filed under the name Enterococcus faecalis. Its description in RNAcentral is "partial 16S ribosomal RNA". It matches the Rfam family "Bacterial small subunit ribosomal RNA", at positions 1 to 166 of the family's 1533-position model. Lineage: Bacteria; Bacillati; Bacillota; Bacilli; Lactobacillales; Enterococcaceae. The record is from RNAcentral.